RNAcentral lists this ribosomal RNA (309 nucleotides) under uncultured bacterium. RNAcentral describes it as "bacterial SSU rRNA". It matches the Rfam family "Bacterial small subunit ribosomal RNA", at positions 335 to 603 of the family's 1533-position model. The record is from RNAcentral.
ACUCCUACGGGAGGCAGCAGUGGGGAAUAUUGCACAAUGGGCGCAAGCCUGAUGCAGCCAUGCCGCGUGUGGUUGGAAGAAGGCCUUCGGGUUGUAAAGCACUUUCAGUCGUGAGGAAGGUAGUGUNGGUUUUAAAAUUAANCUGGCCAAUUUUAAUUUUUGGACGGUUUAAGCGGACCNGAAAAGGAAAGGAACCCGGGGCCUAACUCCGUGCCAGCAGCCGCGGUAAUACGGAGGGUGCGAGCGUUAAUCGGAAUUACUGGGCGUAAAGCGCAUGCAGGUGGUUUGUUAAGUCAGAUGUGAAAGCCC